CCUACGUGUGGCAGCAGUGAGGAAUAUUGGUCAAUGGGCGCGAGCCUGAACCAGCCAAGUAGCGUGAAGGAUGACUGCCCUACGGGUUGUAAACUUCUUUUAUAAAGGAAUAAAGUGAGGCACGUGUGCCUUUUUGUAUGUACUUUAUGAAUAAGGAUCGGCUAACUCCGUGCCAGCAGCCGCGGUAAUACGGAGGAUCCGAGCUUUAUCCGGAUUUAUUGGGUUUACUGGGAGCGUAGAUGGGUUGUUAAGUCCGUUGUGAAAGUUUGCGGCUCAACCGUAAAAUUGCAAUUGAUACUGGCAGUCUUGAGUACAGUUGAGGUAGGCGGAAUUCGUGGUGUAGCGGUGAAAUGCUUAGAUAUCACGAAGAACUCCGAUUGCGAAGGCAGCUUACUAAACUGCCACUGACAUUGAUGCUCGAAAGUGUGGGUAUCAAACAGGAUUAGAUACCCUUGUAGUC
RNAcentral lists this ribosomal RNA (460 nucleotides) under uncultured bacterium. Its description in RNAcentral is "partial 16S ribosomal RNA". It matches the Rfam family "Bacterial small subunit ribosomal RNA", at positions 338 to 795 of the family's 1533-position model. The record is from RNAcentral.